AUUGAACGCUGGCGGAAUGCUUUACACAUGCAAGUCGAACGGCAGCACGGACUUCGGUCUGGUGGCGAGUGGCGAACGGGUGAGUAAUGUAUCGGAACGUGCCCAGUCGUGGGGGAUAACGUAGUGAAAAUUACGCUAAUACCGCAUACGAUCUAUGGAUGAAAGCGGGGGAUCGCAAGACCUCGCGCGAUUGGAGCGGCCGAUAUCAGAUUAGGUAGUUGGUGGGGUAAAGGCCCACCAAGCCAACGAACUGUAGCUGGUCUGAGAGGACGACCAGCCACACUGGAACUGAGAAACGGUCCAGACUCCUACGGGAGGCAGCAGUGGGGAAUUUUGGACAACGGGCGAAAGCCUGAUCCAGCCAUUCCGCGUGCAGGAUGAAGGCCCUCGGGUUGUAAACUGCUUUUGUACAGAACGAAAAGGUUUCUACUAAUACUAGGAGCUCAUGACGGUACUGUAAGAAUAAGCACCGGCUAACUACGUGCCAGCCGCCGCAGUAA
RNAcentral lists this ribosomal RNA (500 nucleotides) under uncultured bacterium. Its description in RNAcentral is "partial 16S ribosomal RNA". It matches the Rfam family "Bacterial small subunit ribosomal RNA", at positions 30 to 523 of the family's 1533-position model. The record is from RNAcentral.